AAAUUGAAGAGUUUGAUCAUGGCUCAGAUUGAACGCUGGCGGCAGGCCUAACACAUGCAAGUCGAACGGUAACAGGAAGCAGCUUGCUGCUUCGCUGACGAGUGGCGGACGGGUGAGUAAUGUCUGGGAAACUGCCUGAUGGAGGGGGAUAACUACUGGAAACGGUAGCUAAUACCGCAUAACGUCGCAAGACCAAAGAGGGGGACCUUCGGGCCUCUUGCCAUCGGAUGUGCCCAGAUGGGAUUAGCUUGUUG
This 254-nucleotide ribosomal RNA is filed under the name Shigella sonnei. Its description in RNAcentral is "partial 16S ribosomal RNA". It matches the Rfam family "Bacterial small subunit ribosomal RNA", at positions 1 to 251 of the family's 1533-position model. The record is from RNAcentral. Lineage: Bacteria; Pseudomonadati; Pseudomonadota; Gammaproteobacteria; Enterobacterales; Enterobacteriaceae.